GAUGAACGCUGGCGGCGUGCCUAAUACAUGCAAGUCGAGCGAACAGACGAGGAGCUUGCUCCUCUGACGUUAGCGGCGAACGGGUGAGUAACACGUGGAUAACCUACCUAUAAGACUGGGAUAACUUCGGGAAACCGGAGCUAAUACCGGAUAAUAUAUUGAACCGCAUGGUUCAAUAGUGAAAGACGGUUUUGCUGUCACUUAUAGAUGGAUCCGCGCCGCAUUAGCUAGUUGGUAAGGUAACGGCUUACCAAGGCAACGAUGCGUAGCCGACCUGAGAGGGUGAUCGGCCACACUAGAACUGAGACACGGUCCAGACUCCUACGGGAGGCAGCAGUAGGGAAUCUUCCGCAAUGGGCGAAAGCCUGACGGAGCAACGCCGCGUGAGUGAUGAAGGUCUUCGGAUCGUAAAACUCUGUUAUUAGGGAAGAACAAAUGUGUAAGUAACUAUGCACGUCUUGACGGUACCUAAUCAGAAAGCCACGGCUAACUACGUG
This 497-nucleotide ribosomal RNA is filed under the name uncultured bacterium. RNAcentral's name for it is "partial 16S ribosomal RNA". It matches the Rfam family "Bacterial small subunit ribosomal RNA", at positions 28 to 507 of the family's 1533-position model. The record is from RNAcentral.